Non-coding RNA from Gossypium raimondii (Peruvian cotton), 146 nucleotides. NCBI's taxonomy places the organism in Eukaryota, Viridiplantae, Streptophyta, Magnoliopsida, Malvales, Malvaceae. The record is from Rfam.
UGUUAAAAAUUUCAUCCAUUUCUACUGUUAAAAGUUGGUGUGGUUGAGGUAAUAACCAAAACAGCUACACGUGGUAUAUCACGUGUACCUCAUACUAACGUACAAGGACUAGUUUUUAACAAUAAAAAUGGAUAGAAUUUUUAACA